Molecule: ribosomal RNA, 465 nt
Filed under: uncultured bacterium
Lineage: Bacteria
Description: partial 16S ribosomal RNA
Rfam family: Bacterial small subunit ribosomal RNA
Source: RNAcentral
GACGAACGCUGGCGGCGUGCUUAACACAUGCAAGUCGAACGGAAAGGCCCUGCUUGCAGGGUACUCGAGUGGCGAACGGGUGAGUAACACGUGGGUGAUCUGCCCUGCACUUCGGGAUAAGCCUGGGAAACUGGGUCUAAUACCGGAUAGGAGCCAUUUUUAGUGUGAUGGUUGGAAAGUUUUUUCGGUGUAGGAUGAGCUCGCGGCCUAUCAGCUUGUUGGUGGGGUAAUGGCCUACCAAGGCGGCGACGGGUAGCCGGCCUGAGAGGGUGGACGGCCACAUUGGGAAUGGGAUACGGCCCAGACUCCUACGGGAGGCAGAAGUGGGGAAUAUUGCACAAUGGGCGCAAGCCUGAUGCAGCGACGCAGCGUGGGGGAUGACGGCCUUCGGGUUGUAAACUCCUUUCGCUAGGGACGAAGCUUUUUGUGACGGUACCUAGAGAAGAAGCACCGGCUAACUACGUG